UGCUUCCUUUAACACAGGAUUGACCUUGUUAAAUUUGAUGAACUGAGCUAUUGUUCUUGUGUUUUAUUUAAGGUAUGUACAAGAGUUAUUGUUAUCCAAAUUAAUCGUUUUAUAUAUUAAACGAAAGAAUAUUCUAACUUACUCAUUUUGAUGCUUGAUUUUGCACAUUAUAGACACAGAGGGGCGUCUACCCAUGAAGUGGCCCGAACAAAUUCAUGAAACUGGAAAAGUAACGGUGAAAAACUUCCUAAAAUAACAAUCGAAAUAUGUGACAAAAUGUUCUGAAGUACACCCAAGAUUUUUUGCAUUGCUUUCCUUGUAAAAUUGUAUCAAACUGAGUUGCAAUCCAUAAUAUUUUUAAGGUUCAUCAAAAGGAAUUUAAAAAAUAUAUCUGUAUUUACACUACAAAUCAGCUCUGAGUAUAGACAAACCAAAGCAUCUAGAAAAAUGAUUAGGCAUGGCAUAUAGGAAAUAUAUAUGCAGUCUAUUUUUCAAAAAAAAACCUUACCUGGAUUUUUUCCAGUGUGCAGAAGAUAAAAAAAAUAAACAAAUACUUGAGUUUAAUUUUGUUAUAUUCUUCAGUAGCUUAAUGACUUAUAACUAAAUCCAUGUAAAUUCUAAUACUUUGAUAAUACAGUAAGACAUGAUUACAACAACUGCUUGGAAUCCCCAAAAUACAAUUAUAUAUUUAAUCAGUUAAACUGUCACUCCAUCUGGUAGGCGGUACUAAGAUUAGAUGCACAUGUAAACAGGUAAAGCUAAUCAAGUUAAGUAAAUACAAAUGAUUGAUAUCAUUACGAUUUUGAUGCGGCUCAUUCUCUCACACGGUUUGCAUUUAUCUAUUGUCCACCUAUUGUCAAUCGAUAUAAUUAAUAUAACUUACAAUAUUGAUUAUAUGAGGGGAGCUUCUCGAACCUCAUUCCCAAAUUAGUUUAUUUUUGCACCUUCUGCAGGAAUUAAAAUAAAUUAAAAGCAAAAUCAUAAUCUGAAUUUUUUAAAUUUUGUGUAUAUAGGUACAUACUCUAAAAGUUCUUAAGAUGAACAGGUUUGUCUGUACCCAGAGUGAAAUUUGCGGUGCAAAUACAGGGUUAGGAUGAACCUUAACGGUGACAUGCCUUUGGGGUAUCUAAUAUAUGCCAAAGCAAAUACGAAGUAAAAGAGCUUACAAUACGUUUUUAUGGUAUGUAUUUUGUUAUCAAGAUGAUAUUUCGUCGUGUGAGUCUUAGAGUGUUAGAUAUCCAUUUUGAUAAAAAUUGAGAUAGCUAUAUAUUUGACAUUUGAUAUUUAUGCGCAAGGGUCAAUUUCCCUUAAUUUACAUCUAUUAUAUGGGAUUUUUACACUUUUGUCAGAACUAUAAUGUUCUAUCUUCACACGUACUCCCAUUUAAUUAUAAUAGCUUACUAGUAUUCAUCUAGUUGGACACCGGAAGUUCAGGGAAUAGUUUCAUAGUGGUGUGUGUUCAUUUUUCUAGUUUUGUUACUGUAAAAUAUUUGUUACUUAAAUUAGCAAUGUAUAACUAUGCUGAAAUUGUUUCCAUGGUUUGAACGCAAUCUAUGAGUUAAUUGUUAGCAAAAUAAUCAUUCCCGAAAUGGGGUUAUUAUACAAUUGACAAAUCCAUGAUCUAUCUCCAAUAGAUAUAUAGGGAUCAAUCUCCAAAAAAAGGAGGUGCUUCAUUCAUUUAAUGUUUUUGUCUAUUCAAAAGACAAUCGAGCAAAGAGUUACUCUUCAUAUCCGACAAAAAUCAAUUCCUACAAUAAUUUCUGAACUCUGUCAAAUAUUUUACAUGUUUUAUGAUAUCGCGUUUUUAAACUUCAUGUUCAAUUUCGCAACACUUGGGUCUAACAACAUUACAACAUUCACACGGCGAUUUUAUUUAUUUGAUUACAGUGCAAAAUGGAAAAAUAACAAGGGAAAAUAUAAUGCGGCAGGACUUAUAUUUCAUAUAAUCAUAAUUCAUUAUAAAGAUCUUAGUGUUAGUGCAAAAUGGAAAAAUAACAAGGGAAAAUAUAAUGCGGCAGGACUUAUAUUUCAUAUAAUCAUAAUUCAUUAUAAAGAUCUUAGUGUUUUGUCCUCAUUCUGAAUUUUGAUAUAUCUGAUUAAUUAUAAAAAUGUAAAAAUUGUUUUACAGCUGAUGGCUUCCUCUUUUGAUCAUUGUGGUAUUUGUAGUUCAAGACACAUUUCUAAGCCAUCCGUGGUUUGGUGCCCACACUGUGAUGAAGGACUAUGCCAUGACUGUAUAGAACACCAUAGCUUGUCAAAGGCAACAAGAAACCACAAGACUGUUAUUAUUGACGAAUACCAUAAAUUGCCAUCAUUUAUUGCGAACAUAAAUCUGCACUGCGAUGAACACAACGAGAAGUACCAAUUGUUUUGCAAGGAGCACAAUGAAGUUUUAUGUAGAAAAUGCGCUAUUUCUGCGAAACAUGUAGAAUGUAAAAAAAUGUUCCCCGUUGAAGAUGUCAUUCAAAAUGCUAAAACAUCUGUAACCUUUACCGAAAUCGAGUCCUCAUUCCAAGAAAUCAAAGAAAAUCUUAAACUUAUCCUUGAGGACAGACAAAAGAAUAUAUCUUCGCUGUUUGGUUCGAAACAGAAAAUAGAGUCCGAGAUAUCAACGAUUCGACGCCAGAUAAAUCAACACCUUGAUGAAAUACAACACCAUUUUAUUGUUGAAUUAAACAAAGCUGUGGAAAAAUCGACCAAUCAAAUACAAACCUUCAUUGCAUCUCUGAAGAAUAAACAAAGAGAAACAGACGAGUGUAUAGAAGAUGUAGAAAGCAUAAAAAAUCAUGCAACCGAUAUGCAAACAUAUAUAGGAACAAGGCUUUUAGAAAAUAAACUGAAUCAAAUAGAAAAUGACAUGCAGUCUUGGAUAAAUGGUGGUAGUUUGGCUCACACCGUAGUAUCGUACGAGAUAGACACUGUAUUAAAUCACAUUAAAAACGACAUAACAAUGUUCGGAAAACCUGUUGUAGACGUGCAAUCAUGUAAACUGCCAAUACGAAGGAGGAAAGAGAGCCAGGCUCAGUUGAUGAAAGUAAAGACGGAGCCUAAAACAAUUGAUCAUAUCACAUUGACCUUAAAAACAAAAAUAAAAAUAUCAGCGUCAAAUGUCUCAGGUUGCUGUAUUUUGCCUUGCGGUAGACUUGUUAUUUCAAACUAUGACCCCUCGUUUUUGUUGUUAUUAACACCUGAUGGGACACUUGAAAAAAAAAUAACUAAUAUAAUGCCCAAAAUUUUUGAUGUUUCUUGUGUCGUCGGUAAAGAAACUAUUGCAGUAGCAUCAGCUUCUGAUAAAAACAUUUCAAUAGUUAGUCUUGAAUCAGGGAAAACAAUAAAAAGGAUCCAAACAACCUUUUCCCUGUCUAGGCUUGACUUACACAAAUGGCAGUUUAAUAGUUUCCCCAAAUAAUGGACAGUUGCAGGAAAUCAGCUUAGUGGAUAACAAGAAAAUUGCCAUUGGUAGUUCUAUUUCCUCAAAUUAUGUUGCCUCUCUGGGAAAUAAGCUGUUCUUUGGAAAAAGCGAAGAAACAGAUACCAUCAUCUGUCAAAAUAGGAACGGUGAGAUGCUGUGGACAUUUACAAACAAAACGGCUUUACGAAAACACAGGUGUAUCGCAGUAGAUGAAUUCGGAAAUGUGUUCGUCGCUGGGAACAAAUCAAAUAGCGUCGUUGCAAUAUCUUCUGAUGGCAAAGAACACAAAAUACUCCUAUCAAAAACAGACCUGGUUGUAAAACCAUGGGCAAUCGACUACAACAUCAAAUUGAAAUCUUUGCUUGUGGCAAACGAACGAAAUGGUCAAGUACUUGUAUACAAUGUUAACUAUGCUUAAAAUAAACGCUACUGUUAAAUUGUUUUUUUAACUUAAUUAUGGACAAUGACAACUUAUUUUAUUAUACCAACUGCAUUUGAUUUCAUUUUUGGAUUGAAAGGUUGUGUAUUAGGAGGCAAUUUGUACAUAAUGUAUAUGAAAUACAUGAAAAAAUGUGUUCAAAAUAUAUUCAACUACAAGUAAAUGGUUUUGGUUUAGGUUUUUGGAUUCUUUAUCGUUUGCAUUGAUGCCACAUUUU
Molecule: long non-coding RNA, 4068 nt
Filed under: Mytilus galloprovincialis (Mediterranean mussel)
Lineage: Eukaryota; Metazoa; Mollusca; Bivalvia; Mytilida; Mytilidae
Source: RNAcentral